GCAGUAGUUUGUAGGACAUUUUUACGUUGAAAGAUUUUGUACCAUUUUGUUUAGUCUUUUGAUAUAAAAGUGAAGAUAGUGGGCUAAAGUAGCUAUCACUGUAACUUUAACAAAAAGAUUUAAUAAUUUUCUCCGCCACAUGUUGCUACAUCUUUCCCAUCUUUUUUCGUUUCAACAAAUUCAUGAAACAGCGCCCCUUGUGGUGUGAUUAAAAGACAGCAUUGCACCUUUAUCAACUGCUGUAGAGACGCAAGGUGAAGUUAAUUCAAAUAUAUUAAUUGUCAAACAAGAUGCAGUAUCCCGCGACCGUUAAACUAUAAAAGGACACGGCUUUGGAAAAGAAACUCUGGACUACUAUACUCAAAGAUGGAGGGAGGAGAUAUGGACUUCUGUCGACCAACAAGGCAAGUGACCAACACGGCAACAAGUGCAGUGGGACAUUAACUUCAUGACUUGGAAACCUCAUCUACAUGAAAUGAAGAAGAAUGAACUUCAUCUUCAAAAACCAGGAGACAGCUCUUGGCGAGGAGAGGAACGAAGUUUGAUGCUAAACUCACAACGUUUCUUCUAGACUGGUCCAGGCUCUCCCCAGUAAUAAUACAUGAAGGGCUCCUCUCCCUCAUCCAUUAAUCAGGAGGGAGGCUGAGGUAAAGGGGGGGCUGAUCUUUGGCCUUCA
Molecule: long non-coding RNA, 676 nt
Organism: Lates calcarifer (barramundi perch)
Lineage: Eukaryota; Metazoa; Chordata; Actinopteri; Centropomidae
Exons: 4
Source: RefSeq, a predicted model, not a curated record